AACGAACGCUGGCGGCAUGCCUAACACAUGCAAGUCGAACGAGACCUUCGGGUCUAGUGGCGCAUGGGUGCGUAACGCGUGGGAACCUGCCCUUAGGUUCGGAAUAACUCCCCGAAAGGGGUGCUAAUACCGGAUAAUGUCUUCGGACCAAAGAUUUAUCGCCUUUGGAUGGGCCUGCGUUGGAUUAGCUAGUUGGUAGGGUAAAAGCCUACCAAGGCGACGAUCCAUAGCUGGUCUGAGAGGAUGAUCAGCCACACUGGGACUGAGACACGGCCCAGACUCCUACGGGAGGCAGCAGUGGGGAAUAUUGGACAAUGGGCGAAAGCCUGAUCCAGCAAUGCCGCGUGAGUGAUGAAGGCCUUAGGGUUGUAAAGCUCUUUUACCCGGGAUGAUAAUGACAGUACCGGGAGAAUAAGCUCCGGCUAACUCCGUG
RNAcentral lists this ribosomal RNA (433 nucleotides) under uncultured bacterium. RNAcentral's name for it is "partial 16S ribosomal RNA". It matches the Rfam family "Bacterial small subunit ribosomal RNA", at positions 29 to 507 of the family's 1533-position model. The record is from RNAcentral.